This 367-nucleotide ribosomal RNA is filed under the name uncultured bacterium. Its description in RNAcentral is "bacterial SSU rRNA". It matches the Rfam family "Bacterial small subunit ribosomal RNA", at positions 527 to 896 of the family's 1533-position model. The record is from RNAcentral.
GGAGGGUGCAAGCGUUAUCCGGAUUCACUGGGUUUAAAGGGUGCGUAGGUGGGUCUGUAAGUCAGUGGUGAAAUCUCCGAGCUUAACUCGGAAACUGCCAUUGAUACUAUAGGUCUUGAAUCAUCUGGAGGUAAGCGGAAUAUGUCAUGUAGCGGUGAAAUGCUUAGAUAUGACAUAGAACACCAAUUGCGAAGGCAGCUUACUACGGGUGUAUUGACACUGAGGCACGAAAGCGUGGGGAUCAAACAGGAUUAGAUACCCUGGUAGUCCACGCCCUAAACGAUGGAUACUCGACAUCAGCGAUACACUGUUGGUGUCUGAGCGAAAGCAUUAAGUAUCCCACCUGGGAAGUACGACCGCAAGGUUG